UAAUACGUAGGGGGCAAGCGUUGUCCGGAAUUAUUGGGCGUAAAGCGCGCGCAGGCGGUUUCUUAAGUCUGGUGUCUAAGUGCGGGGCUCAACCCCGUGACGCACUGGAAACUGGGAGACUUGAGUGCAGAAGAGGAGAGCGGAAUUCCACGUGUAGCGGUGAAAUGCGUAGAGAUGUGGAGGAACACCAGUGGCGAAGGCGGCUCUCUGGACUGUAACUGACGCUGAGGCGCGAAAGCGUGGGGAGCAAACAGGAUUAGAUACCCUGGUAGUCCACGCCGUAAACGAUGAGUGCUAGGUGUUGGGGGGGUCCACCCCUCGGUGCCGAAGUCAACACAUUAAGCACUCCGCCUGGGGAGUACGGUCGCAAGACUGAA
Molecule: ribosomal RNA, 377 nt
Filed under: uncultured bacterium
Lineage: Bacteria
Description: bacterial SSU rRNA
Rfam family: Bacterial small subunit ribosomal RNA
Source: RNAcentral